UUGAAUAGAGGCUUAUCUUCAGGGGUUC
Molecule: non-coding RNA, 28 nt
Filed under: Homo sapiens (human)
Lineage: Eukaryota; Metazoa; Chordata; Mammalia; Primates; Hominidae
Source: RNAcentral